RNAcentral lists this ribosomal RNA (468 nucleotides) under uncultured bacterium. RNAcentral describes it as "partial 16S ribosomal RNA". It matches the Rfam family "Bacterial small subunit ribosomal RNA", at positions 28 to 523 of the family's 1533-position model. The record is from RNAcentral.
GAUGAACGCUGGCGGCGUGCCUAACACAUGCAAGUCGAGCGAUUUACUUCGGUAAAGAGCGGCGGACGGGUGAGUAACGCGUGGGUAACCUGCCCUGUACACACGGAUAACAUACCGAAAGGCAUGCUAAUACGAGAUAAUAUACUUUUAUCGCAUGGUAGAAGUAUCAAAGCUUUUGCGGUACAGGAUGGACCCGCGUCUGAUUAGCUAGUUGGUAAGGUAACGGCUUACCAAGGCGACGAUCAGUAGCCGACCUGAGAGGGUGAACGGCCACAUUGGAACUGAGACACGGUCCAAACUCCUACGGGAGGCAGCAGUGGGGAAUAUUGCACAAUGGGCGAAAGCCUGAUGCAGCAACGCCGCGUGAGCGAUGAGGGCCUUCGGGUCGUAAAGCUCUGUCCUCAAGGAAGAUAAUGACGGUACUUGAGGAGGAAGCCCCGGCUAACUACGUGCCAGCCGCCGCAGUAA